This 435-nucleotide ribosomal RNA is filed under the name uncultured bacterium. RNAcentral's name for it is "partial 16S ribosomal RNA". It matches the Rfam family "Bacterial small subunit ribosomal RNA", at positions 29 to 507 of the family's 1533-position model. The record is from RNAcentral.
AGCGAACGCUGGCGGCAGGCUUAACACAUGCAAGUCGAGCGGGCAUCUUCGGAUGUCAGCGGCAGACGGGUGAGUAACACGUGGGAACGUACCCUUCGGUUCGGAACAACUCUGGGAAACUGGAGCUAAUACCGGAUACGCCCUUAUGGGGAAAGGUUUACUGCCGAAGGAUCGGCCCGCGUCUGAUUAGCUAGUUGGUGGGGUAACGGCCUACCAAGGCGACGAUCCGUAGCUGGUCUGAGAGGAUGAUCAGCCACACUGGGACUGAGACACGGCCCAGACUCCUACGGGAGGCAGCAGUGGGGAAUAUUGGACAAUGGGCGCAAGCCUGAUCCAGCCAUGCCGCGUGAGUGAUGAAGGCCUUAGGGUUGUAAAGCUCUUUUGUCCGGGACGAUAAUGACGGUACCGGAAGAAUAAGCCCCGGCUAACUUCGUG